CACCUGCGUGGUGCGGUUGUCCCGGGUGGCAUCCGGGCCGGGGGAGUCGGGGCGCUCGCCGGGCGCAGCACCUGGACGGGUGCC
This 84-nucleotide transfer RNA is filed under the name Clostridioides difficile. Its description in RNAcentral is "tRNA-Ala(ggc)". The record is from RNAcentral. RNAcentral also lists the same sequence under 1 other name. Lineage: Bacteria; Bacillati; Bacillota; Clostridia; Peptostreptococcales; Peptostreptococcaceae.